This 465-nucleotide ribosomal RNA is filed under the name uncultured bacterium. RNAcentral describes it as "partial 16S ribosomal RNA". It matches the Rfam family "Bacterial small subunit ribosomal RNA", at positions 338 to 795 of the family's 1533-position model. The record is from RNAcentral.
CCUACGGGUGGCAGCAGUGGGGAAUAUUGCGCAAUGGGCGAAAGCCUGACGCAGCGACGCCGCGUGAGGGAUGAAGGUCUUCGGAUCGUAAACCUCUGUCAGCAGGGAAGAACGGUCACUGUGCUAAUCAGCAGUGAAUUGACGGUACCUGCAAAGGAAGCACCGGCUAACUCCGUGCCAGCAGCCGCGGUAAUACGGAGGGUGCGAGCGUUAAUCGGAAUUACUGGGCGUAAAGCGCUCGUAGGCGGUAUGUCAAGUCAAGGGUGAAAUCCCCGGGCUAAACGGGGGAACUGCCUUUGAAACUGGCAAACUGGGGUGUGUAAGAGGAUAGUGGAAUUCCAGGUGUAGGAGUGAAAUCCGUAGAUAUCUGGAGGAACAGCAGUGGAGAAGGCGACUAUCUGGCACAUAACUGACGCUGAGGGGCGAAAGCGUGGGUAGCAAACAGGAUUAGAUACCCCAGUAGUC